Molecule: ribosomal RNA, 1375 nt
Filed under: Microbacterium sp. Ld4
Lineage: Bacteria; Bacillati; Actinomycetota; Actinomycetes; Micrococcales; Microbacteriaceae
Description: bacterial SSU rRNA
Rfam family: Bacterial small subunit ribosomal RNA
Source: RNAcentral
CGGUGAAGCAGAGCUUGCUCUGUGGAUCAGUGGCGAACGGGUGAGUAACACGUGAGCAACCUGCCCCUGACUCUGGGAUAAGCGCUGGAAACGGCGUCUAAUACUGGAUAUGAGCUGCGACCGCAUGGUCAGCAGUUGGAAAGAUUUUUCGGUCUGGGAUGGGCUCACGGCCUAUCAGCUUGUUGGUGAGGUAAUGGCUCACCAAGGCGUCGACGGGUAGCCGGCCUGAGAGGGUGACCGGCCACACUGGGACUGAGACACGGCCCAGACUCCUACGGGAGGCAGCAGUGGGGAAUAUUGCACAAUGGGCGCAAGCCUGAUGCAGCAACGCCGCGUGAGGGACGACGGCCUUCGGGUUGUAAACCUCUUUUAGCAGGGAAGAAGCGAAAGUGACGGUACCUGCAGAAAAAGCGCCGGCUAACUACGUGCCAGCAGCCGCGGUAAUACGUAGGGCGCAAGCGUUAUCCGGAAUUAUUGGGCGUAAAGAGCUCGUAGGCGGUUUGUCGCGUCUGCUGUGAAAUCCCGAGGCUCAACCUCGGGUCUGCAGUGGGUACGGGCAGACUAGAGUGCGGUAGGGGAGAUUGGAAUUCCUGGUGUAGCGGUGGAAUGCGCAGAUAUCAGGAGGAACACCGAUGGCGAAGGCAGAUCUCUGGGCCGUUACUGACGCUGAGGAGCGAAAGGGUGGGGAGCAAACAGGCUUAGAUACCCUGGUAGUCCACCCCGUAAACGUUGGGAACUAGUUGUGGGGUCCAUUCCACGGAUUCCGUGACGCAGCUAACGCAUUAAGUUCCCCGCCUGGGGAGUACGGCCGCAAGGCUAAAACUCAAAGGAAUUGACGGGGACCCGCACAAGCGGCGGAGCAUGCGGAUUAAUUCGAUGCAACGCGAAGAACCUUACCAAGACUUGACAUAUACGAGAACGGGCCAGAAAUGGUCAACUCUUUGGACACUCGUAAACAGGUGGUGCAUGGUUGUCGUCAGCUCGUGUCGUGAGAUGUUGGGUUAAGUCCCGCAACGAGCGCAACCCUCGUUCUAUGUUGCCAGCACGUAAUGGUGGGAACUCAUGGGAUACUGCCGGGGUCAACUCGGAGGAAGGUGGGGAUGACGUCAAAUCAUCAUGCCCCUUAUGUCUUGGGCUUCACGCAUGCUACAAUGGCCGGUACAAAGGGCUGCAAUACCGCGAGGUGGAGCGAAUCCCAAAAAGCCGGUCCCAGUUCGGAUUGAGGUCUGCAACUCGACCUCAUGAAGUCGGAGUCGCUAGUAAUCGCAGAUCAGCAACGCUGCGGUGAAUACGUUCCCGGGUCUUGUACACACCGCCCGUCAAGUCAUGAAAGUCGGUAACACCUGAAGCCGGUGGCCUAACCCUUGUGGAGGGA